GAUGAACGCUGGCGGCGUGCCUAAUACAUGCAAGUCGAGCGAACAGACGAGGAGCUUGCUCCUCUGACGUUAGCGGCGGACGGGUGAGUAACACGUGGAUAACCUACCUAUAAGACUGGGAUAACUUCGGGAAACCGGAGCUAAUACCGGAUAAUAUAUUGAACCGCAUGGUUCAAUAGUGAAAGACGGUUUUGCUGUCACGUAUAGAUGGAUCCGCGCCGCAUUAGCUAGUUGGUAAGGUAACGGCUUACCAAGGCAACGAUGCGUAGCCGACCUGAGAGGGUGAUCGGCCACACUGGAACUGAGACACGGUCCAGACUCCUACGGGAGGCAGCAGUAGGGAAUCUUCCGCAAUGGGCGAAAGCUUGACGGAGCAACGCCGCGUGAGUGAUGAAGGUCUUCGGAUCGUAAAACUCUGUUAUUAGGGAAGAACAAAUGUGUAAGUAACUAUGCACGUCUUGACGGUACCUAAUCAGAAAGCCACGGCUAACUACGUG
This 497-nucleotide ribosomal RNA is filed under the name uncultured bacterium. RNAcentral describes it as "partial 16S ribosomal RNA". It matches the Rfam family "Bacterial small subunit ribosomal RNA", at positions 28 to 507 of the family's 1533-position model. The record is from RNAcentral.